Molecule: non-coding RNA, 96 nt
Organism: Triticum aestivum (bread wheat)
Lineage: Eukaryota; Viridiplantae; Streptophyta; Magnoliopsida; Poales; Poaceae
Source: Rfam
CGUAGUUGCGACGAGGAUAAUAAGCUCCCUCUUCUGAAAGCAUUGAUGGCAUCGCUGGGAGAAUCAAACCAAUUAAAUAUUGCCAUCACUGAGCAA